This 440-nucleotide ribosomal RNA is filed under the name uncultured bacterium. RNAcentral describes it as "partial 16S ribosomal RNA". It matches the Rfam family "Bacterial small subunit ribosomal RNA", at positions 338 to 795 of the family's 1533-position model. The record is from RNAcentral.
CCUACGGGAGGCAGCAGUGGGGGAUAUUGCACAAUGGGGGGAACCCUGAUGCAGCGACGCCGCGUGGGUGAAGGAGCGUUUCGGCGCGUAAAGCUCUAUCGGCAGGGAAGAAGAUGACGGUACCUGACCAAGAAGCCCCGGCUAACUUCGUGCCAGCAGCCGCGGUAAUACGUAGGGGGCAAGCGUUAUCCGGAUUUACUGGGUGUAAGGGGGGCGCAGACGGCAAUUCAAGCCAGGAGUGAAAGUCUGGGGCCCAACCCCGAGACUGCUCUUGGAACUGCAUGGCUGGAGUACAGUAGGGGCAGGCGGAAUUCCUGGUGUAGCGGUGAAAUGCGUAGAUAGUAGGAAGAACACCGGUGGCGAAGGCAGCCUGCUGGACUGUGACUGACGUUGAGGCCCGAAGGUGUGGGUAUCAAACAGGAUUAGAUACCCCGGUAGUC